AUGUGCAGUUAUGGCGGUGGCGACGUCGAUGACUGGUAUGAUGAUUCUGAUACGGAUGACCACGCCGAAGACACGGGCGAUGACAGGCACCAUCAGCAAGGAGCAAGGAACUCCGAUUUGGACCUGGAUGAUGAAGAUCGGACCUUUUUGAGUCAGUUUCCAGAUACUUGGGGGGCAGCGCCCACUAGAAAAGAAAAAGACAUCCAAGGAAUACAAUGGGAGAGGCUGGCUAUCACACGUGAAUGGUACAGACAGACCAGAUUGCAGGAGUACAAAAACUAUGAGAACAUUCCUAAUUCUGGAGAAGAAGCAGCCGAGGAAUGCAAACAGACUGAGAAAGACGGAAUGUAUUACGAAUUCAGAAAAAAUACUAGAUCUGUAAAGUCAACUAUACUACAUUUCCAGCUGAGAAAUUUAGUAUGGGCGACAUCCAAGCAUGAUGUCUACCUGAUGUCACAUUACUCAGUCCUUCACUGGUCUGCAUUGAGUGGUGUGGAUACUGAACUUAUGAACGUCCAAGGUCAUGUGGCACCAAAGGAGAAGCACCCAGGAAGUCUAUUAGAGGGGUUUUCUCAGACCAAGGUUAGUACCAUGGCAGUCAAGGACAAUUUGCUGGUAGCUGGCGGAUUUCAAGGGGAGCUAAUCUGCAAGCACCUUGAUCGAGAAGGGAUAAGCUUUUGUUGUCGAACAUCACAUGAUGAUAAUGCUCUUACUAAUGCAAUCGAGAUAUUCAAUACUUCUAGUGGCGCUGUUCAUUUCAUGGCAUCGAGUAAUGACAACGGUGUAAGAGACUAUGACAUGGAGAGAUUCCAGUUGUGCAAUCACUUUCAGUUUGAUUGUCCAGUGAAUGCAAGUCCCUUUGGUUAUUUCUUUUAG
This 876-nucleotide ribosomal RNA is filed under the name Triticum aestivum (bread wheat). Its description in RNAcentral is "partial small subunit ribosomal RNA". The record is from RNAcentral. Lineage: Eukaryota; Viridiplantae; Streptophyta; Magnoliopsida; Poales; Poaceae.